RNAcentral lists this long non-coding RNA (752 nucleotides) under Pongo abelii (Sumatran orangutan). RNAcentral describes it as "lincRNA". Lineage: Eukaryota; Metazoa; Chordata; Mammalia; Primates; Hominidae. The record is from RNAcentral.
CGCUGCCAGCAGCUUCCGCCUGCUGCGGUCCUGGCAAGCACCUCGGGAUCUCAUUCCUUCACAGGGGCCCUAGCCGGCUGAGGCCUCCGAACCCUUCCCUAGCUGGAUUUGGGGACAGAGGAGCGCUGUUAAAGCUGAUACAUUCCUGUGGGUCAACUAUGCAACUAACUCAGAUUUUGAGCAAACAAAGCUCUCAAGUUGGUGAUCCUCAGGAGUCUCUGCAUUAGUUGGACAGCUCUUCUGGAAUUAUCUUCUAAGUCAACUGUGGGUUGGGUAGGUGGCUCUGCUGAUUUUUUGCUGGACUUCCACAUUUGGGACCAGUUGGCUGUCAUCAGCUCUAGAAAGGGUGUGGCUGUUUUACAUUGGCUGUUUUCCUCACAUUCCUCAAGCAGGUACUGUAAUAAAGAACUGGAGAAAUAAAGUCAGAUGGGAAGUAGCCCCUGCUGUCAAGGAGCUUGCCAUCUAAUGGGGGAGACAGGCAAGUAAACCAAAGACUACACAGUGCAGUAUGGUAAGUGCCAUGAUUUUGAUAUGACAGGGCACAGUGGAAGACCUUCCAAAUCAAAGCAAGUAAGUAAGGGUUGACAAUGGUAAGUAUCAUAGUUGAAGUAUCCUUGAACAAGGUUUCAGGAAGAAGAAUAAGGGAAUUUCAUGCAGGGAAACAGCCAAAGCUCAGUGAGUCAAAAUAUCACAGCAUUCUUGGUAAGCCCAAUUUUUUUUUCUGUUUUGCUAUUUUGGUGGAGAGAAAGGAA